This 234-nucleotide ribosomal RNA is filed under the name Afipia sp. ISO950_OTU1. RNAcentral describes it as "partial 16S ribosomal RNA". It matches the Rfam family "Bacterial small subunit ribosomal RNA", at positions 29 to 289 of the family's 1533-position model. Lineage: Bacteria; Pseudomonadati; Pseudomonadota; Alphaproteobacteria; Hyphomicrobiales; Nitrobacteraceae. The record is from RNAcentral.
GCGAACGCUGGCGGCAGGCUUAACACAUGCAAGUCGAGCGGGCGUAGCAAUACGUCAGCGGCAGACGGGUGAGUAACGCGUGGGAACAUACCUUUUGGUUCGGAACAACACAGGGAAACUUGUGCUAAUACCGGAUAAGCCCUUACGGGGAAAGAUUUAUCGCCGAAAGAUUGGCCCGCGUCUGAUUAGCUAGUUGGUGAGGUAACGGCUCACCAAGGCGACGAUCAGUAGCUG